AACGCACAUUGCGCUUCCGGGUAUUCCCGGGAGCACGCCUGUUUGAGAAUCGAUAAAUCUCUCCGUGCUAAUGCCCUGGUGCCUUCGGGUGGCAGGGUCUGUGCGCGAGGAAUUGGGCCUUUUUUGAAUCAUCCUCACGGGUGAAGACAAUGGCCUCAAACGGAAUGUCCGCGAGUGUAUUCUUUGCACAAAGAAUUUAAAAAUCGCCAGGGUGCUAGAACUUUAUGGACUUUCGCCCGAGUCGUUGUCUUUGUGGUUUGAAGGAUUGAUCGCGUGAACCCAAGUGUUUCAUUGGGGGUCGCUCGGAUAGGGUGGUCUCCAACUAACUUGGUCUCAAAUCAGGCGGGAAAACCCGCUGAACUUAA
This 365-nucleotide unclassified non-coding RNA is filed under the name uncultured soil eukaryote. Its description in RNAcentral is "sequence contains 5.8S rRNA gene, ITS2, 28S rRNA gene". The record is from RNAcentral.